Benincasa hispida (wax gourd) is the source of this 930-nucleotide long non-coding RNA. RefSeq lists it as uncharacterized. The record is from RefSeq and is a predicted model, not a curated record. Lineage: Eukaryota; Viridiplantae; Streptophyta; Magnoliopsida; Cucurbitales; Cucurbitaceae.
GUUUGAGUGGGUUUUUCCCACUUUUUCCACCUCCAACUUCAUUAUCCUCUUGGUGUUUGGUGUUAAGCUGAUUUGCUGUCUUAAUUGCAUGACUAAGUUGUCUAAAAAAUUAGAAAACUUCAGCUGAAAAGGAUGAUGCAUUUUGAGGUUUUUGUUGAAGAACAAGAAGAAAUGUUCUUCAACCUAAGAACAUAAAACUAGAAUAAAAGACUCUCUUUUAUUCCCUUCAAUUCCAACUCAUUUUGGGUUCCACCACCUAAUCUAAGGUUUUAAAGGAUAGUAGGGAAGAUCAAGUGGUGGUCUACAAGUAUUUGGAGUGAAGAUUCAAGCUAGAUUUGAAGAUUGAAGAGUUUUUUAAAGGAAAGAACAAGUGCUUCAAGAUAAGACUAUUCCUCUAGUAAAAGUGCUAUGGAGAAAUCAUGGGAUGCAAGAGGCCACCUGGGAUACAGAAAAGCAAAUGAGAGACAAAUACCCACAUCUCUUGUACGAGGAAGCUUAAGGCAAAUUUCAAGGAUGAAAUUUUUCUAAGGGGAAGCUAGCAGUCGAUGCCCCAAGGCCUAGCAAUUCUGCUAGUCAGUCACUACUCAGGGAUCAUAUAGGCUUGAAGUUUAGGUGGUCCACUAUGUCCUUUUUAGACCCUAUUCCGAAAAAAAAAAUGUAGCAAUUGAAGAAGAAGAAGGAGAAAAAGAACUAUUGAAGAAGGAGAAGGAGGAGGAACACCUUACCGAUUGAAUCAAAGAAGAAGAGAAAGAACUGCUCGUCGUCGAUCUUUCACAAUUCAAUUGAAGAAGAAGAAGCAGCCGACUGUAGAACUCGAAGAAGAAGAAGGACUCAAUCGUUCAAUUGAAUGUUGAGGUUGAAGAAAUUGACAAUGAGAAAUGGGGAAAAUUAGGGUAGUUUGGGUAUUUUAAAAUUUAUUAAAAUUUCGUG